AUAUUUAUCACUUAAUUAGUUUUCUUUUCCUAAAAUGUCAGUUCAAACCAAGAACACCAAAAUGAAUAAGGAAGCAGAAGAUGCUGCAUCAGUGAUUGUGCGAAAACAAAUUUUCAAGUGAAUGAUUGUGUAAUUGUUGGAUUUUGAAAGAUACAGAAAGAUGCCAAAGAAAAUCAAUAGCAACAUUAAAGGGUGAUGAGGACGAGAAAAUUAAAGAAUACAGGCUAUGUCAGUCUGAAGAUUUAAAAGUCGUUGAAGCUGGUGAAAACCCUUUUGUCCAAGGGUACAAGAUGCAAUGCUACCAUAUAUCACAAAUUAUUAUGGAAACCCAUAUUCAAGGACCCAUUCAUAUGGUUGGGGAAACGAAAAAGCUGUUGAACAAGCCCGUGAGCAAGCUGAGGCUGAUAAAUGCUGAUCACAAGAGAUCGUUUUGCAAUUAUUUUGUAUAGAUUGUUAUAAAGAAAAUCAAUUGUUGGUAUGAUCAUAACAGAAUCACAAAACUGUCACAUCGCUUGGUCGACCAGAUAAGUAAAAGUUUAACACAUGUUAUACGAAACGGAGAUCCUGAACACUCCUAUCCAGGUUGUGUUAAUCUGUCG
Molecule: long non-coding RNA, 599 nt
Organism: Daphnia carinata
Lineage: Eukaryota; Metazoa; Arthropoda; Branchiopoda; Diplostraca; Daphniidae
Exons: 4
Source: RefSeq, a predicted model, not a curated record